CACCUCCCCGAUGGUGAAGUACUUGCUCGUGUUCUUGCACACCGAGCCUCCCUCGGGCGAUGUGGUGAUCUUCACCUCGUUGCUGAUCUUCUCGAAGGUGGUGCCCAGCAUGUCGCCCUCGAUGAUCGAGUAGCAGUAGGUGAAGUUCUCCUUGUCCAGGGCCUCAACCUUUUGCUUCAUUGUCUUGUACUGACUGCCUAUCAAAGUAAGAAAAAAUAAUAUUCACGUUUAGAACUCGCCCGUUUCAACAUCACGAACAACGAUCUCGAUGGUGUUGAUCGGGCCAUUUAGGUUGUUCCAACUGCAAUCUGAUACGAUUGACUUAGUAGACAUGGCCUGAUUUCCCUCGAUUGGAGUCAAGUCACGUGAUCACUUGUGUAAAUCAAUGAUUAGAAACAUCUUUAAUUAACCAAGUUACAUAUCUAUCUUUUUUAAUGUUCAUUAUGAUGUUCCAUAAGGUUGAAAUAGCCUUGAUCCAGAGCGAUCCUAACACGGACGGACUAACCUUCGCCGAAAGUGAUCAACUUGACGGUCCCGGGACCUCCGUCACCCUCGAGGACUUCAACGCUCUUGAUGGCUUGCGGGAGCACCUUGGGGAUGAGGUUAUCGGCGUCGAGGACAGCGGCCUUGAACAUCUUGGCCGGAGGGAUUGGGGUCGUGAUCUCAGAGUCGUAACUGACGACACCCAUGAUUUGGAUCCGAAUGGAAUUGCCGAAAGAAAGAAGAGGGUGAUCGGGAAAGGCUGACUAGCAGUGAUGAAGUUGGUCUCUAGGACUUGGGAGUGAAGAGAAGAGGAUGAACUGAAGCUGACAUAUAUAGAGAGACCGAGUGUGAAGGGUUCUCGUCAUUGGAUAUUUUCUUAAGUGUGUUCGUUUGGUACAAAAUAAAUAAUUAAAUAAUUAUUUGUAUCAUUUGGUAUAAUUAUUUGAUGAGAAAGUUUUGCAUUAUUGACAAUAAUUUAUAUAUAAAUAUUUUUUAUUCGUUUAUUUUUGUAAUUUAUAUAAAAAAAAUAUUUUUUUUACGAAACAAAUGAAGCUUAAUAAAAAAAUCUUAAUCGGUCUGUGGGUUGUUCAAUCAUGACAUGGAGGGGAGCGUGUGACGACAAAGUCAGUUCUUCUUACCGUUCGUGGCCCGGCUUUCGGUCGUCGGCUCGGCUCGCCUUGCGUUUUGGAAACGGCAUCUUCUCUCUCUCUCUCUUUCCUUCUCUCGCCCGCUCUUCCCUGCCCCGCCCCCCGGGCUUUGCUGUGGUCGCGACCAGAUGGAACUUUGACCGUGGAUUAGAUCGUUCGUUCGGUGGUGUUGGUGUCGAGGGUCGUUUGUCUUGUCCGUGCACAAAUUCCUUUCUUUCUUUUUUUUUUUUUUUGCUUUUUUUUUCUUUAUUCGAUGAGGUCGUCGUUCGAUGAGGUCGACCUUGACCUCGCCGGUUGCCAUGGUCCGUCGACUAGAGGAAGAAGAUGAGAAGAAAAAAAUAAAAAUAAAAAUAAAAAUUCAAAAAAAUUACAAUAUUAUUAGAAGUUGUCCACGUCAUCGUGUUUAGUCAGCAAAAUCCGGUCAAAAUUGACCGGAAAUGACUGAAUUGGUAUAAAGUAAAAAUAUUUAGGACUAAAUCAGCACAAAAACAAAAUGUUUAGAACUUUUUAGGCAUUUUUCCCCUAAAAUGGGUAUUACAAGUUUACGAAAGGUACGAACUCAAAAGUCUCCCAAUAAUACUUAAAUUCUCUUGUAGUAGUUAUAUCUAUCUAAUCUUCAAUUAAAAAAGAAAAAUUUCAGUAAAAUUCCUUAAAAACACAUGUAUAAAAUCUUGUUAUCUUCUAUUAAUGCAGGUUUUAAUCAUAUUGUUUCACCAACCUUCUCAGCGAAUUAGUCCCUUUUUUUAGCAUAACUAAUCUUGGGAUGUCACAUUUUAUUGCUAUAACUUGGGGCUUUGAUUUAGGAACUCCAAUAAUCAUUAAAUCUAUCCAUGGAGAGCGCCCGCUAAAAAAAUCUGACUGCUUUGCAUAACCUAGUUUGGUUCAACACCUUUCCUCCAGUAACUUUCCUGACAUAGUAAAAUCUUACUUAUGUACUUGUAAAAUCCGAACCAAGUUUCUGUAUAGAUUAAACAUGAACAUUUGCACACUUAAAUGAAUUCUUUAAAUCCCUGGGUUAAAUUUUGAUAUUAUCAUAAUCCUUUAUUUUCCAAGUAGUUUCUCCAUUUUCGACAAUGACAAACCUAUAACAUUCCUUCAAUGAGAGUGAGCUAUGCACAUAAGCAUGCAUAUUCUGCAGAACUAUUUGAAUGUAAAACCAGAGAUGAUUCAUGCAUGCUUCUACAUGUGACAUUUUAAUAGACCAUACAAAUAUGUCUGCAAAACAUAAUAAACUCUCCUUAAUAUGUACACAUAGUGUGAUACUCCCCCUGAGUAUGUGCUUCUCCCCCUUCUUGUUUCUUAAAAAAGCAAGAACAUCAUAUGCCCAGGGAUGAAAACCAUAUAAGCAAAAGCAUCCAUUUAUUUAUAUACAAGAGUGUUCCACAAAGCAUAUUCUGGAAAAAUUAAUAUAAAGGAAAGUGAACAUUAACCAAAAGGAUCACAAACACCGAUUUCAUCCAUCAAGCUAGAAACGUAUUGUUAUCAAGAGGUUUAUUCAAAAUAUGAGCGAAUUGCAGAUCGAUGUUAACAAAUCCUUUUCAUUAAUUCAUGUUGUGCUGUGGCUGCCAUAAUUAAAUAAAUAAAUAAAAGAAUCAUAUGAAGGAGUCUCUCUUCUUGAAGUUUGACCUAGUUCAGAGCUCCUCGAAAUGGAAGCCACCCCCGUUAAUUAGCACAACUCAUUGUUUAGAGUUAAAUCUUUUAUUAGAAAUCCAAAAUUUAGGCAAUUAAAUACUUGGCCAAUUUUUAAGACAGUGUGACUCUAAAAAUUGUGCUCAUAUUCAACUGAAACACAAUUAGUAAAGAAAGACUUACCGAGUGCUUAACAAUGUCGCAAUUACACUUAUCUUCAAAUCCUUACAUUAAGGAUGACACAUCCUUAUAUUUCAAUAAGGGCCAUUGACUUAACUAAGAAAUUUUAUCUGUUGAAUACUUGAAACACAGAAAUCUGACUAAUUGGAGUAUGAAUUACUGAAACUACAACAACAAUUGAGUAGAAAUGUAAAAGAGACUUAGGGUUGAUGCCUGAUUAUAUAUCGAAAUACCAUGGGUUUGACAUAUAGACCUCCUUGUCAAAGCCCUGUAUGCUAUUGGAAAUAUGUAUACGUAUUAGGCGCAUUCUGUGGGCUACUACAUGGUGCACUUGUUUUAUAUUUAAAGUUUCAAUGGGUUAGUUUUGUCUACUGGUAAUAUUUUCCUCCAAUCAUACUUUCAAUUAAUAGGUCAAAGAUUAUGGACAUUAUCAAUACGAAAUUUAAUCAAAAUCAAAUACGAGUGAUGUUAAUAUUUGUGUAAUCCAUCAAUGAAAGUUAUGGCUAAAAAGAGUUCAUCCAGCUAGAGCGUUACAUGUGUAAAUAGAGAUAAAAUAAAUUUAGAAUUCUAUCCGUGAACUUUUAUAUCAUUGACUACGGUUGCUAACAAGCAUUUUCAUUGCAAAAUUUGACAACAUUUUUCGAUGGCUUUUGGAUUAUCACAUAAUUAUGUCGUGAUUCAGUUUUAUCAUGUUCAGAUUUAGUUUUUUUACAUUUAUUUGAAUCUAAGUUACAAUUAUUGCACGUGAUGGUUGACACUUAAGGGCCUGCAUGGUUGGCACUUAUUUCUGUUCCCAGGAACAGAAAUUUCUGUUUUUUUGUUCCUGGGAACAAAAAAGGAACAGAAACGCGUUUGUGUGCGUUUCNNNNNNNNNNNNNNNNNNNNNNNNNNNNNNNNNNNNNNNNNNNNNNNNNNNNNNNNNNNNNNNNNNNNNNNNNNNNNNNNNNNNNNNNNNNNNNNNNNNNNNNNNNNNNNNNNNNNNNNNNNNNNNNNNNNNNNNNNNNNNNNNNNNNNNNNNNNNNNNNNNNNNNNNNNNNNNNNNNNNNNNNNNNNNNNNNNNNNNNNNNNNNNNNNNNNNNNNNNNNNNNNNNNNNNNNNNNNNNNNNNNNNNNNNNNNNNNNNNNNNNNNNNNNNNNNNNNNNNNNNNNNNNNNNNNNNNNNNNNNNNNNNNNNNNNNNNNNNNNNNNNNNNNNNNNNNNNNNNNNNNNNNNNNNNNNNNNNNNNNNNNNNNNNNNNNNNNNNNNNNNNNNNNNNNNNNNNNNNNNNNNNNNNNNNNNNNNNNNNNNNNNNNNNNNNNNNNNNNNNNNNNNNNNNNNNNNNNNNNNNNNNNNNNNNNNNNNNNNNNNNNNNAAUAAAAAAAUUAUACAAAUUUACCAAACAUGUUUCUGUUUAUUUUUUAUUCUCGGAACAAGUUUACCAAACGCGUAUUUUUGUUCAAAAAUUGUUCCCCGGAACAGAAAUACUUUUUUCUAUUUCUGUUCCUGGAACAAUUUUUAAACAGAAACACAACCAAACGCGCCCUAAAUUUCGCUGUUUUUCUUCCUCUUCUUUUGUCCCCGCGCGGCCCAAUCUCGUUUUUCCUUUCGGCCCGCCCGCGCCCCAGCUGUCUUCCUUGUCCUGUCUUCGCGCGCAAACCUGCAGAGGAGAGACAGCAGCAGCAGCAGCACAGCAGCAGCACGCCAGCAGGGGGAGCAGGAGCAGAGUAGAAAGCACGCGAGCAACAGGCGGACCGGCGGAAAGAAAAGACAGGGGGAAGCAAGGGGCAGAAAGAAAGUGGAGCAACCAGAGAAAGAAAAACAGAGGGAGAGAGCUCGAGAGGGAGGGAGAGAACCGGAGAGGAGGGGAGUCUCCGGCACUGUCGCCGCCGCCGCCGACGCUCGCUGCCGCCUCCCACACCUCUCCAGCAACCGCCAUCCCCGACGACCACCGCCGUGUUGCCUCCCCCGCCGUCGCCUGCUGCUGCGUUUUCGUCACCAGCUGCCGCGUUCGCCGUCGCCCGCCGCUGCCUUUCCGCCACCGUGCCGUCACCCGCUGCGUCCCAACCGUCGCCGUCAAGCCCGUCGCCGCCGCCGCCGUCCGUACGCCUAGCGACGCCUCAGCCGCAAGCAAGGAGAGGGACGUCCAUCGGGUCGCAGCCGGGUAGGAUUUUGAUCUUCGGGCAGGCCGCGUCUGGGCCGAAGCAAGGCCUUUGGGCCGGUUUAAUAUUAGUUUUUCCUUUUGUGUCGGGCUGGUUUAAUAUUAGUCUUUCCUUUUGUGUUGGGCCGGGCUUAGUUUACUUAGGUUUCUUUUUUAGGUGGACUCAGUUUUGAGCUGGACUGGGCCCGUCGUUCAGGCCCAGUCCUGUUGGGGCCCUGCCGAAUUUGGCCCUCCCCCGACCAGGCCGAACCCGGGUCGGUCAGACCGGACCCGACCCGGUUCGCCCAUUUUUUUAAAAUUUAUUUUAUUUUUUAAAAAUAAUUAAAAAUGUAAAAAUUUCGAAAAUUUAAAAAAUGUUGGGUUUAGUUAGGAAUUAUCAUGUCAACAUAAUUAAGCUUUUAUUUUCUUGUACCUUGAUUAUAUUGCAUGUUUAAUUAGCAUAUUUGAUUAUGUUUGUGGAUGUUUAAUUGCACAUGUUUAAUUUUACUGCAAUUAAGAUUUUGGUAGCUAUUAUUGUUAUUCUAAUGAUUGUACAUUUAUACAAUUACAUUAUAUGUUAGUGGAUAUGUGUAAAAUCAAUCCACAUUGCCUGACAAAAAUCAUUUCUUUUUAAAAUGAACAAUAUUAAGUAUUGAAAAGACACUAAUUGGUUAAUUAGUAUAAUCAUAUUCCCGACCCUAGAUUCUUUAGUUGGUAAGAAGUGUGGUAUACUCUCAUGUCUCACUUGGUUUUUAACCGACCCCAAUAUAGCUUACUCUAAUAGGUUAGUGGCGACUCUCUUUUGCAAAAUUCUUAAAAAUACCCAAAUGUCACGUGAGAUAAAGCUUAUGAGAGCCUAUGCCUAAUCAUAGGCUUUAGAUUCGUUGUUUAGGCAAUACCCUUAAACCUAUUCUUUCCCCCUGAUGGUAGGUCACGACAAUGAUCUAAGCUCCACCAAUAUUCUUACAUGACAUUUUCUGCUUGUCAAGCAUGUGACUUUAACGAUGUUGUAAAUUAAAUCAAUUACACGUUAAAAGUUUCAGUCAAUAAUUGACACAAAUAGUAGUAGUGGACCGACCGAAUAACAUUAGAUUGGCAAUGCAAAAUCUUAUUUCAAUAGAUCAAUAGCAUAACUACAGCAAAUAUCAAACUUUAGGACCGUGAAUGAAAUUUCUCGGUGUUAAAAAAUAAUUUUCCUUCUCUUGUCACGUCCACAGAAAAUCUUUUAGCACCACCACUACAAAAAAGGAUCGUGGUUUUCUUCCAUCACAAAUUUGAUUGGCAAGUUAUCAAAAUUUGAAGAAUCAUCCUAGAGACCGAUUCAAGGACAGCAGUUGAUCUACUAGUUGGCAAGAUUACAGAGGCGUUGAGGUCAGAUUGGGUGGUGAAAACCAACACAGCCCGUGAAGGCAAAACGUGCGACGAUUAAUAAGCCAAUGCAGCGUUCUUUCAGAGACUAGAUUUAGUUAUUCACUUAAGUUUAUCUACGGGGCUUCAAUUUGUACUUUUUAGGAGAUAAAAGUGGGUGUUAGGAGGCCUGGAGUUGCAUAUGAGACGUGUUAGAAAUUAAACCAAAUUAAUAGAUGUCCUCAAUCGACUACGAGUUGCUGAUGUCAAUGGAGAAGUUACUGAUAUUAAUGGUUGUCAAUGUUGAUAUUCCAUAAUUUGAUACUGAUGAUUUUGUUUGGUGAAUUGAUACGGAUGACUGUCCGAUGCUUGAGUUAAUUAGAUUCUUUAUUGUAGCGUUGUUUUUGAGAAGUCUAUUCGUAUUUUUAUUUCAUGUCUGUUCAUGUUUCUAAGUGUAAUCAAUGUUUUGUAAGUUCUUAGGAUUUUAUCACCUCAGAUUAGCUAUAUUUAUGAGUAAUUUAGUUUAAGAGUUAUGUGUGAAGCGUAUAAAAGUGGAGUCUUGUAAUUGUUUUUGAUAAGGUGAAAAAAAGGUGAAAUAAACAAAAAGGAUAUCUGUCUCCUUCUCUUUUUUGUGUUGUGUUAGUGAGUGUUUCAGCUUUAAAUUAUCCCAUCAAGAUGUAGCCUGUAUUUGUCUGUUACAAAAACUUGAAAUUUUCUAGUUUUGAUGCCAUAUGAAAUUAUGAAGGAGCGCUAUUAGCUAUUAUAGAAGUUUAGAUAAUUAGAUGGAUGCAUUAUUCGAUACUUAAUUGAUAUAACGUCUCUUUCACGACCCAUGUUCCUUUUCAACAACUAGAUUACUUCAACAGCUUGGCCUCAAUGAAAGGAGAGCUGUCUACAGAAGUGGAGGAUGAUGGAAUGAACAACUCGAUCGCGGAGGAGGUAAAGAAGGAUGAAAGAGGACCUUUAAUGGAAGUGUCAAAGGAUGAAAGGGAUUCUGAAGAAGAAAUCUGGAGAGGUCGACGGGAGAUAAUGAAUAAUGCAUUGGCGGCUUCCGCGGGGGACAAGAUCCGGCAAAAGCUUACGAAUAUGCUCGAAUACUGGCGCAUGUCAUCAAAGGCGGCAAGGUUGACGAGUUCCUUUCCAUGAUCAAUGUAAAUGAUCCAUUGUUGUGGGACAUCAAUUGGUCUGCCGUUUUGAAUUCCCGAUUGGAAUGGAACGAAUCACUGCUCCACAGGGCAGCAGCAAACGAGAACGACGACAUCCUAAGGCUUCUGGUUGAUUAUGUUGGUGACCACCUCAUAACCGCCCAAGAUGAUUGCAGAUAUACCCCACUCCACUGGGUCGCUCGGUUGGGGGGAUCUACUGGAGCUGUAGAGAUGUUGAUUCACCGGGCAAGAGACCUCCCCAACGUCGAGGACAAGAACCUCCUCUUGAGGAUGAAGAGCAACCGUGGAAAAACCGCUUUGCACUUGGCCGUGUGCUCUCAACAUGCCAACUUGGUGCGCUAUUUGUUGAGCGAAGAUUUGGAGCCCGUGUACUGGAAGAAUGCAAGUGAGAAAUCUCCCCUGUACCUAGCCCUCGAGAUUAAUGACUCCACAAUACAUGAGACUUUAUUUUCACUCUCGUUGGAACCGUCAAGGAUAGAAGGCUUGCCGCCCAUUCUUGGUGCCAUUGUACUUGGACGACACGGUACGUACCUAAAUCUGCUUAUGUGGAAAUAUAUUUAUCUAUUUCUGGACCGACUCGUCCCAAAUUUGUGCAAUAACCUUUUGCUCUUACCAGAACCUUUUACCGGUUUUUACUUAAAAUUCCCUACCCUGCUUGUUAAAGCAGUUGGAUACCCAUCGGUUUAGCCGCGCAUAAUAAACAAAUUAUUCACAUUAGAGCAUAAUAGAUUGGCUUAAAUAUUACAAAUACAACCAUUUCACUAGAAACUCGUGUUAUCGAUAUUUGAUUAGAAAAGCUAUAAAGUGCAAAUAUUUAAGAUUGAUGACCAUGAAAAUCUGGUAUCUAACAAUGAUGCCAUUUCUUAAGCGACUUAGAGCCAUGAACCAAAAUGAACAAAUGAAAGUUUAGGGCAGGAAUUAUAAACUGGUAGCAAACCUGUAGGCUGCGCAGGCGUGAUUUUUUCAUUGGAAAAAGAGGAGGUGAAGGUUCCGUCACUCUCAACAAAUUGAUGGAACAUCAUAAACCGUGAAUUUGUUUGUGACCAACAGUCAAUAGGUUUUUAAGAAAUUAACAAAAGUGGAUCUAAAUAAAGAAACAAAUUUUUGACUUUUUUUUAAAAAUGAAUACAGUUAUCAUAAACUUUGCACAAAAAGCCGAUAUCGUAGUCUAGCCUAAAUUACCUUGACCAUUAAAAAUAUUGAGUUAAAAUUCAUCAGACACGCGAUAAUCAAUUAUGCGGAAUUUUUUGGCUGCUAAUGCCAUGUAUCCCAAGUUUACUACUUGAUAAGCAUAGCUAACGUUCAUUGAUCAUCAGAUUGGUAGAUGGCAUUCAAGUGUUACAGUCAUAUCAAAUAGAGAGAAUUGUCCAAAAAGUGCUAGACUUAUUAUAUGAUUGUCGAUUCAGUUAUAAACAUGUUAAUUGUGUCAAUUUAACCUCUAUUUUAGUCCUAAACUUUUAAAAGAUUUGCCAACUUAGUCCUUCUAAUCAAUUUCUACUGGAAAUCAAUUUAUGCUGGAAAUUGCCGACAUGGCGGUCUAGUCAAAGUUAGCCAUCCUACAUGAUGUUGAUCGCCUAUGUGGCUUUUUUACAAUAUAUAUAUUAUUUUUUUAAUUUUUUGCAUUUUUUUCCUUUUCUUUUUUUUUAAUCCUUUUUCUCCCUCUGCCAGCCUCAGGCGAGGGCUGCCCUCUGACCCUUGCGUAGAGCAACCCUUGCCCUUGCUCGACCUCCACUAGGUGUCAACUGUUGAUGGUUAGAGAAGGGAAAAAGGAAAAAAUGAAAUUAGAAAACAAAAUGAAAAGAAAAAGACAAAGGAAAGGAAAGGAAAAAGGAAAAAAAAAUUAGAAAACUAAAAAAAUUGCAAAAAUUAUCCAUGUUAGCGUUGACUAUGCCAUGUAGGACAAUCAAUACUACUAGACCGCCAUGCCAAUGAUUUCCAACAAAAUUGGCUAGAAUGACUAAAAUAACAAAUUGUUAAAAGAUUUAUAACUAAAUUGGCAAGUUAUUAAACAUGGAAGGCUUCGCAGCUAUCCAGAAGAGAGCCUUACUCUAUAGGGGUGCUAACGCUUUACUAAGGUAUAGGAGAAGGGGCGGUUGGCUUAGUAAAGAGAGUAUAAAGUUCCACUUUGUGAAUAGUGCCUCGGCUCGGUUGAGUAAUGUAGUUCGCAAUUGUUAUGACUAAAUUGGCAUAAUUGAAAUAUUUAAGACUAAAUUAAUCAUCAUACAAUAAAUUCAAGACUUUUUGGACAAUUUUCCCUAUCAAGUAUAAUUCCAACCCUAGAUGCAGUAACUUUAUUUGUAUCCUGUCCCAAUUUAUUAAUCCGAGCACAUGUUAUUAUUUACAUUGCACGACGUAACAUGUUUGAGGCUGUCUAUUUAAACUGAACAUGCAAAACAAUUUCAAAUAGACAUUAAGUGAAAAUGCGUAACAAUGUAUUGUGUGAUGCAAAUAAUAAAUUAGCAUACCCAAUAAAUGUAGGUGUCUAAACUUACGUCGCACUCGUUGAAUAGAUUAUAGAAGUCGACUUGCACACAUAACGUUCAUAAUCCAUUUAUAAAUGGCUUAACUUAUUUGCGAUAAUACAAUUAAACCUAAUCCUACCAUAUGUAACCACGUUUCAUGUAGUGAACAUGUCUGUAGAAGGGCUGUUUCAUAGUUUGUCAGCUCAUAAUUCUAAUAAGUACUUUAGAAACUAUACAAAAGAUCCCAUUGAAAUUGGAUUUACUAUAUAUUUCUUAUUCUUACUGUCCAAUAUAUAAAAAUCCUUUUAUGAAGUACUACUAAUUGAAAUCUCAUAAUAAUAGUUCAUUUUAUUCCUCAUUGAAUGUAAAAGUAGAUGACAUUGUGGAAUGAAUCGAGCAUUGCCAUGGGCUUUUGUAGAGAGGCACUUUAAUUAGGCUCUCAUGAUAGGUAAGGUUCAUAUCAAUUAAAUAAGGUAAGGUUAUUUCUUUAAAUCUAGUAGUAUUCUUUCACUUGGGAAAAUUAUCCAAAAAGUCCUAAGCCUAUUGCACUUUUGCCAAUUCAAUCCUAAAUCAUUCAAUUUUGUCAAUUCAGUGCUAACCAUUUUCACUUCUUGCCAAAUGAGUGUAUUCCGCUAAUUUUGACCAGAAUUCAUUGAUGUGGAUAAUUUUUAUUAAUAUUUUAAUCAUUUUUUAAAAAAAUUAUACUUUUUUCUUUUUUUCUUUCUUUAUUCCCCCCUCUCUUCUUCCUUUUAUCAAUGGCUAGCUACUAACCACCAGUGAUGGCCAACUACCGGCCAUGGCUAGGUGAGUUGACCUUGCCCGCCGUAAGUGAUGCCUGGCCGGGCAAGGCCAAGCCCCAACAAGGGUCGGCCUCACCUAGGUUAGGCGAGACCAACCCUCGCCCAAACUAGGUGAGAUCGCCUAGGCGAGGGUGAGCCCCUUGUUCGACCAUGUCUUACUGAGGCAUGCGAGGCUAGCUAGCUCGGCCAUAGUUGGUGGCUGGCACAAAAGGAAGAAGAAAGGGAAAAAAAAUUUAAAAAAAAUAAAAAAAUAUUUUUAAGAGUUUACAUUAGUGUCAACCGUCUUACAAGACACCGCUAGUGUCCACAUCAGCGAAUUCCUAUCAAAAUUAGCCGGAUGGACUCAAUUACCAAGAAGUAAAAAGGUUUAUGACUGAAUUGACAAAAUUAAAGAGUUUAUGACUGAAUUGAUAUAAGUGCAAUAGAUUUAGAACUUUUGGGAAAUUUUCACUCUUUCACUAAUGUAUCUAGAAUGUAACUAGUUACCCAUAUUGAAAUUUGUGGCCUGAAUUGCUCCGUCAAUUUCAAGAAUGGUGGCAUCCAUCAUGCGAGCACCUUUUUUUGUAUGUGUAAAAUUGAAGUAUGUUUUUUAUUAUAAAUUAUUGGUGAAAUAUUAUUCUAUUUCAUAAAAAAAUUCUUCUUUUGAAUAGAAUAAAUGCAAAAUUCUUAAUUCAUGUUAUAUAUUAAUGUAAAAUAUAGGGGGCUCGAUGAUAGUUAAAAAAUUCCUAAUUAUUGUUGUUAUAACUCAUGAAAUUUGUAUAUGUACUUAACAAUAUUAUUAGAGUAUAUUUUAUAGGAAGUAUUAUAGAAAUGUAAGAAUUUUCAAUAAUUGCUCAUUUGCAGUUUUUGAAACUCAUUAGAACUAAUUUCAAUAAAACUAAUGCCUCUUUUGUUGAACAAAAGUCAUGGUAUAAGAGGCAAACAUAAAUCCUAAUUUGAAGCAAAAUAAAUGGAAAGUGGAAGAAACACUCUUUGUGAGGAAAAUAAUCAAUCCCUUACAAAUUAGAGCCCUAUAAAUCACUUUUAGAGACAAUUCUUAAAGAAAAAAUCAUUAUAUAUUUAUGUAGAUGUUACAAUAGUCUAGAUUAAUUUGCAAAGUUCACUGAACUUUUAGUAUUAUGGAUGUAAUUUUAUGGCGGUGAAAUGAGACUCAUUUUGUUUUGUGUUGUGUCAUCACAGCUUAAAUAUGUGGUCGUUAUAGCUCCGAUAUAUAUGACUCCAUGCAAUGCACAGACAAGAUAGAACAUAUAAUGUGAUUUAUUGAGUAAAAAUAUCUUUCCCAGAAUCACUAAAAUUUCACAAAAUAUAUUUGGUCCAUUCACAAGAUAUAAUGGGAUUGAGUAGCACAAUCCCCAAGGAUGAGGUUAUCUCUAAAUCACUCUCGCCUGUCUUUGAAGUCCAAUGGCCACCCACAAUCCUCAAACACCGUUGGAAUAUUCUCAAACAAUUGAAGCACCUCUCUCACAUUAUUGAACCUCUUUACUAGCACCUCCAAAUUUUCAUAGUUGGGGCCAAAAAAAAAUUCCUUUUGGUGGAGCCUUUUCCUUUCUGUAUUUUGUGAUUUAUAAGCUCUACUAUCUUAGAAAUAGAUUAUGGUCACAAAUUUUACUUAGAUUUUACUCACAAGUUUGGUAAAUACAUAAUCUCUUAAUUGAGCUCAAUAAGUGCCGUAUACCUUUACGAAGAAGAUGACAUUCAAUCUAGAGAGGGUGGAACAAUUUUAAGGGGGAUUUCGGUAGGGCGUUGUGGAGGCUAUUGCAAUGUUCUUAACAAUUAAAUAAGUCUGCUUGAUACUUGCUAGAAUUCGACGGACAUAAUAUGAAAAGAUCAUUUUCCUUUUCUUGAUCUUGCCCUAGCUUGCAUUACGUCUGCCGACUCUAUAGAUACUUCAUGUCGUGGAAAUGCCAUAUAAAUUGCUAUGUCAUUUAGCAAGAUUUUUAUAGUCAAAUCUUAAGUUCCUGUCGAUGUCAUUUAACUAGUUUUGGUAUUGCAAUCUAAUCUGUUAUUGUCGACUAUCAAUACUAGUAGUGAUUAAGGCACGUCAAAGAUGUCCUUACUCCAAAAUGGGUUUAAAUAUAUCGAGACCAACCAAGCUCCAACCAUCCUAAUUUGGAGCUUCUGAUCCCAGAUUUAUUCAACCUGAUACUCAAGAAAAACAUGAAGCUAUUCGCAUUGACCGACUCCACCGGGGGCAAUGUAUUCCAUUUAGCAGCUUACCUGAAUCAGGCCUGGGUAUUCGAAUUCUUACAACCAGAAACUAUAUAUUUGAUCCGAGCAAGGGACAUGAAUGGAGAUCUCCCCAUUCAUAUUGCGAGCAAGAUGGGUUAUGUUGAACAUAUCAAGAAGCUGAGGAAAGUAUCAAAUUUGCGAAAUGGGCAAGGGCAAACUGUUCUUCAUGUUGCCGCAAAAUAUGGGAGAGUCUCCGUAGUGAGAUAUAUACUCAGUGAUCCAGAUCUAGGGGAGCUGUUAAAUAAACAAGAUUUUGAUGGAAAUACAGCUUUGCACUUGGCUGCGAUGCAUUCACAGCCCGCUGCUUUGAUUCAUCUUGUGCGGACUAACGGAAUUCAACUCAGCAUUCUCAACAACAAAUGCUUGUUGGCUGUUGACAUUGCUGGACGACGCGUAGCAAUGGGGUAUGAUAUUCGGCAGGUAGGUAACAUGAACAGUCACUAUUUUAUUUAUUAACUUACUGGAGAUUUCGUAGACUAAUGCAUUAGUUAAGGCAGAUCUUGUAUUCAAAUCAUUAUGUCUCCCAGCCAACUAGAUAGGAGAAGUAUUGAUCAAAUCUCUAGAAUAACCAAGACUCCUCUCGGAUAAAUGUUUUGCAAGUCCCUAAUUUAGUCUUGAUAGGAGGUAAUUAAAAUUUGUGAUCAUGAAUUUCUCUGCAGUUAGAAACAAGUAACGUGUCUUUCAUAACACGGAGAUAACAAUUUAUAUAUUUCGUUUAAUUGAGCCUCUGAAUACAGUCAUGAAUAAAAAGGCAGGGUUUGUCAAGGUUGCAUUCUGUUUUUCAUAAAAAGCCAGGGGUCAAUGUGGCAAAUUUGAACGCUCCAAAUGUAACACAAUCUCAUAACAUUAUCAUUUUGUCGACCUAUGAAAUGAUUGCCCGCAUAGAUUCCAUUCAUGCCUCUUUUUUCGUCUAAAACGAACUUGGCAAUUUUGUGCUAAUUCUUCAAAAAGAGCAGAAACUGCAUCUUUAGAAGCAAACGUUUCCAGAGUUCAUUCCCGUUAUAAAUAUGGUAUAAGUUUGUUCUUAUUUUCCUUUUUACAUGCUUCCGAUCUCAGCACUUGGCAUACCUGGCGUUGCUUUGCUCGCUCGCGGAAGAAGGUCCACUUGAAAACCAAGAGUUACUCCUAGUUAGAGCGGAAGCUCGAGAUGAAGAGUUAUCAGUAGUCCGCUCGCGCAAAAGCAUGCCGAGAAGGGACAUCAUCAAGGAUCACAUCAAUUCCCGUAUGGUGGUGGCAACGCUUGUGGCCACAGUGACUUUCGCAGUUGGUUUUGCAGUUCCUGGAGGAUUUAACAGCUCAGACACAGCCUCCAAAGAUGACCGGGGCAUGGCUAUGAUGCUGGACACAGAAUGUUCCAGGCUUUCGCGAUUUGCAACACCAUCGCGAUGUUCUGCUCAAUGACUGUGGUCGUCAACCUCAUCUGGGCGCAGGUAGUUGAUGUCAACGUUGCAGUCGCUGCAUUUCAGCGCACAACGCUACCGCUACAAAUUGCACUCCCGGCGAUGUCCACCGCUUUCUUAACUGGUGUCACCUUGACCAUUGGCAAACUCCCGUGGCUUGCUAACACCAUAUUUUAUUUGGGACUCGUUUUCCUCCUCAUUAUCUCAUUUGCUAACUUGUUCGGGGAGCCUUUCUUCUUUAAAAUCCUCGGUCAUCCUCUCCGUCGACUAACAUUCUGGCUUAUUCUCGCUUGCAUUUAUUUGUGGAGAGUUGAGACGUACAUUUAUGAUGACAAUGACGCGGAAGAUAACAGAAGGAGAAGAAGACCUUCGCUAGUCCGCCUGUGGAUGUUGCCGGUGAAACGAGGACCGAUGACUCGGCGAAAGCAAAAUGUGAGGAUGCGUUACAUCCUCCAAGUCACUGAUUUGAAUUGAUCAUUCCAUAUUAUCUGUAAUAUGUAGUAGUAAUAUAUGUUUUCCUUGGUGAGUGUGACUCACUCUACGGUUGCUUUCCUUUAUGUCAGAUCAAAGGUGAUUGUUAAUGUAUGUAAGCUAAACCACGUGUUCCUCUAAUAACUUAACUUAUUAGAAUUGUUGGAUAUAAUUCCAUCAAAUUUCAUAUGUUAUUAAAGCAGAGGUUCUAAGUUCAAACAUUUUCAGGUCCUAUUUGCUUCAUCUAUUAUAUGUUCUCAUGUUUCAAUAUUAGAUCAAUUCAAGUUUAUGAGUGAAGAUGAGUAUAAAAGUAUUUGUAUUAAAGUAUUUGAAUUAAACAUCGCAUCCGUCUAAUAAUUUACAUUUUUAGAAUAAUUAAUUGUAGUUCCCGAAAUUUCAAAGUGAUACACACUUCAUGUAAAUUAAAUGGAUGAAUGGCUCAUUUCACCCGUUUCAUUGCCUUGGAAUCAAAUUGUUAACUUUGAACAUGUGGAAGCUCGUGGGUCAAUGAAAUCACUCGUCUAGAGUGGCAAUGUCCGAUUUACUUUGAACCAGUCCAAUUUGCGGCACUCUCGAGUCACGAAAUCUUACCUGUCUGGUGUGCAAAGAAAAUAAUUCUCAAAUUCUCAUCGCCUACUCUCUGAGUCGAGAGUUGGGUGAAGAAAACCGGAACAAAAUAAUUCUCUUCACUACUCACAAAAAAAAAAAAAUAGAAUCGAACCCCGAACUCAUUUCCAUUUACACCCCUUUCAUUUCCCCACUUCUCCCUCCUAGGCGACCAAUUUCUGUGCAUGCAAAUGAGUUUUGGUCUUUGAUUCGUGCCGAGGUAUAAUCUAGUGAGCAGCGGGCACAGAAGUCUAGUCAAGGGACGAGAUAAAAAGGAAUUGCAGUACGCAACUCAAGGAGAAUUGUGGAAAAGUUUGGAUAUGUGAUUUUCCUCCUCCGAUCUCUGAUUUUUAUUUCAAAGCCGGUUGGUAUUGACACGUAGAAUAUAACUCUAAAGUGAUUCUGGACCUAUUUAUUUUGAAAGUAGAUAAUUACAAAAAAUGAAAAGGAUCCCAUUGUACAAAUAAUCGAUUUAAUUUUAAACAUCUUGACGAUUUGCCAGUAUAGUCAUUCUGACCAAUUAUGACCGAAAAUCAUUGACGUAGAUGCUAGCCAUCCUAUCGCACAUGACCAGUAUUGAGGUGGACAAUUUUUGUAAUUUAAAACAAAAUUCUCAUUUUUUUUUCUUUUUUUCAUGUUUUCAUUUUCUUCAUUUUCCUUUCUUAUAUUUUCCUUUUUAUUUUUUUCUUAUUCCCCUUCGCCAGCCAUUGGCCGGUCCAUGGCUUCGGUGAUUGAUAGUAAGGGCCCAAUGCCCUCGCCAGCGAUUGCAAGGGCUGAUGGAUUUGCUGGGGCCACAGACUAAUGGAGGGACAAAGGAAGAAAAAAAAAGAAUGACAGAAAAGAAACUAAAAAAAGGAAAAAAAAAAGUUUUGAAAUAAUUGCAAAAAUUAUCCACAUUAACAUCCGCGCCCAGAUCGGCGAGGCCAAUCUUGUCAUGGGCUGGCCUAGAUCUGGGUGAAGCCGCCUCGCGUGCGGCUCCGAGGCCUCACUUGUGGCCAAAAGAAUGAAGAAGAGAAAAAAAAUAAAAGGAAAAAUAAAGAAAAUUAUUAAAAAAUUAUUAAAAAAUUAUUAAAAAUUGCCACGUUAGCAUUGACCGAAUGACUAUCGUCCACAUCAACGCUAGCCGACCAAAAUUGGCCGAAUAGAUUGAAUUAACACAAUCACGAAAAGUUUAUAACUGAAUUAGCACAAUUGUUAUGAAUUUACGACUUUUUUGGUAAUUCUCCCAAUUUAUUUGUUAUCUCCAUUUUUAGAUUGUGACAUGUGUCCAUUCAAUUUUAGUCCUCACUGCACUUCAUCUAAAUACCAUCAAACCUUAGCAGCGAGGAUGGUAAUUGGAGAUCUAUGCAAAUAUUUAUAUAUAAAAAUUACAUUGAGAUAGUAAAGUGUGCUCACCAUCAUCAUAUCAUCAUCCAUCAAGUCGAUUCCACAUAAUGAUCUAUUUGUCACUUUCAACAUCCUGGGGGCUUAAAUGUUUCAAUUAAAUAAGGUAGGAUGAGAAGUAUUUUUCAUAAAGAACGGACAUUCAAGAAGUCUUGCUAGAUUGAUAGAUUGAUGUUGCAAAUGGUUCUCUUCUCAAGUAGCAUGAAAAAUUAUGCUACUUAAAUGUAGAGCCUCCUUUUUUCUAUUUUUUUUGGCAGAUCUUCCAAAUCAAAUUACAAGGUUACGACUAUGAAAACUCAUAGUACAAGUACAAAAAAUACCAAAUCAAUCAUCUAUUGACUUCUCGAUUCUCAUUAAAUCUGAUUCACAAAAUAGGUUGGGACCCAUUUUGCUAGCCCUACUAAAAUCUAAACAUUUUAAUAAAUUAAGGAUUUAUACGGCAUCCUAGUUCACAAAGAUGUGCCGUUGCUGUUGACAAAUCGACAGUGAUUGAUUUUCAUGAACUCGUCGUCAUAUUGUCGACAUUCCCAUUAUAUAUGAACAUAAGAGAGAACUUUGAUUUUUGAGCAUCAAGAGAUAAGAUUGACUUAAAUAGAAUGCCAAAUAGCCCAAGUGUCACAAUUAGAUAAUUCCAAACCCCAAACACUUUUUUUUUAACCCCAAACACAUUCAACUAUGGUUUUUUUUUCCUUAUAACUUUCUUCACAUAAUAUAAGAAUGUACUUUAUGGUUAAUGAUCAUAUAUAUCGCGGUUUAUGAAAGACUAUGCCACAUCAAUAGUUUUAGAUGUUAGUCCAAAUUCGAAAUACCGGGCCAACGUUUGAGAUUUGAUUGGCCAUUCGGCAUUUCAUUUAUUACUCAUGAAGUCUAUCAUUGCAUGAAAUUUACUGAAAAUUAGAGAAUCUCACAAUACCAACAAAACAUCAAGUUUAUUCAGCUUUUUUACCCUUGAUACACUCCACAUGUAGCCCAAUUUACAAAAUUCCACGAAAACUACUGCUCAGCAAAGACGAACAACAGCACCCAUCGGCCCAACAUGCUUAACUCCAAGCAUAGAGUGACUCGAACUCUUCUUGUCUCCUUUCAGUUUACCACAACCAGACAUAUUUAAUAAAGUACCGUGAACAAGACAAGAUAGCGAUGAGAUCUACUCAAUAGGCAUAGGGUUUGCCAAGAGAUAAGCCUCGAUGGCCUUGAACAUCGCGGACGCCUUCUCUUUCCCGGCCUUGAUCUUCUCCUCAGUGAUGUCCACCUCACCGAUGGUGAAGUACUUGCUCGUGUUCUUGCACACCGAGCCUCCCUCGGGCGAUGCGGUGAUCUUCACCUCGUAGCUGAUCUUCUCGAAGGUGGUGCCCAGCACAUCGCCCUCGAUGAUCGAGUAGCUGUAGGUGAAGUUCUCCUUGUCCAGGGCCUCGACCUUGUGCUUCAUUGUCUGGUACUGACUGCCUAUCAAAGUAAGAAAAAAGUAAUAUUCACGUUUAGAACUCGCCGGUUUCAACAUCACAAGCAACGAUCUUGAUGGUGUCCAUUGGGCCAUUUUGGUUGUUCCAAUUGCAAUCUGAUACGAUUGACUUAGACAUGGCCUGAUUUCGCUCGAUUGGAAUCGAGUCAUGUGAUCACUUGUGUAAAUCAAUGGUUAGAAAUUUUUUUAAUUAACCAAGUUACAUAUCUAUCUUUUUCAAUGUUCAUUAUGAUGUUCCAUAAGGUUGAAACAGCCUUGAUCCAGAGCGAUCCUAACACGGACGGACUAACCUUCGCCGAAAGUGAUCAACUUGAUGGUCCCGGGACCUCCGUUGCCCUCGAGGACUUCGACGCUCUUGAUGGCUUGCGGGAGCACCUUGGGGAUGAGGUUAUCAGCAUCGAGGACAGCGGCCUUGAACAUCUUGGCCGGAGGGAUUGGGGUCGUGACCUCGGAGUCGUAACUGACGACACCCAUGAUUUGGAUCCGAAUGGAGUUGCCGAAAUAGAGAAGAGGGUGAUCAGGAAAGGCUGAUUAGCAGUGAUGAAGUUGGUCUCUAGGACUCGGUAGUGAAGAGAAGAGGAUGAACCAAAGCUGACAUAUAUAGAGAGACCGAGUUUGAAGGGUUCUCGUUAUUGGAUAUUUUCUUCAAGUGUGUUCGUUUGGUACAAAAUAGAGAAGAGGAUGAACCGAAGCUGACAUAUAUAGAGAGACCGAGUCUGAAGGGUUCUCAUCAUUGGAUAUUUUCUUCAAGUGUGUUUGUUUGGUACAAAAUAAAUAAUUAAAUAACUAUUUGUAUCAUUUGGUAUAAUUAUUUGAUGAGAAAUUUUUGCAUUAUUGACAGUAAUUUAUAUCUAAAUAUUCCCGUGAAUGAUGAAAAUAUUUUUUAUUCAUUCCUUUUAUAAGUUAUAUGAAAAAAAAUAUUUUUUUACAAAACAAACGAAGCUUAAUAAAAAAAAUCUUAAUCAGUCUGUGGGUUGUUCAAUCAUGCCAUGGACUUUGUUCAUAAAAUAAAAUUUGUCUAUAUGAUAAUGGAAUAUUAGUCAGAGAAGGCACCAUCCUAGAAUGAUACCAAACGUUCUUCCAUUUCCCUUUCAUGUAUAGACUUGACUUUUGAUCCAGGAGCAUUUGCUCAGCAAACUCUCUUGGCUGAGCUUCACUGAUUUCUUACAUAGUGUUACUAUCAUAGAAAAUAUCAAGCCCUUAGCUGCAUAGGUCGCGAUCCACCCAGAUCUCAUCCUACUUCUUUUCAAUCCGUUCGGUAGAGGCCUCGGGAAGAAUUAUCAUCAAUUUCAUACUCAUAAAUAAUAUUCGCUUAACUCUGUGCAGUAGAAAAACUCGAAAAAUCGAGGCACAAUUUUUCCUGCUGGGUGAUCUCGGUGCUUCAUGUUUCUGUUGAGCUUCCAUCGAUAAGAAAAAGUACAGAUUGAUCUCAAUGUUGCACUAAUCCAAUUUAGCAGAAAAAAAUGGGAAAGGUAGUUUGGUAAUUACAAGGCUUUGUUACUUUUAGUCAACAAAGGCUGCUCUGAAAAUCAAGAUGGACGUCUAUAGAUUUUGAAUUUUUCUACUUGCUUUCAUGUGUCUAGUCCUUUUAAAUAAUAUUAUUGCGAACCAUUUUCUGCUAAUUGUCUGGUGGAAGUGUGGUGGAUCAAGCGAGAUUGGCUCACGGGUCACUUGCUCAUUAAACAUUUUUUUAAUUUUCCUUUUUAUCUAACGGUAUAGCGACGUAGAUUUUUAGAAACGCUUUCUUCGUAUUUAAUUUUCUUCUUUUGUCUAGUUCAUCUUGUCGUAGUCACGGACCAUGUGAACGUAUAGGAGAAUGUCCAUGGGUGUUAGAUCAGAUUAAUUAAUGAAUUUCGUCGUAUUGAGACAAAAUUGAUUAAACUUGUCAAUCAUCUCACUGCGACGGAAGAUUCGGAAAAUAUUAAUGCAUAACAACAGCAUAUGUUUUGGGAGAAAAGUAUUGGAGAGGGGCAUGGAUGCAUUGCUGAAGUUAUUUGAUGAGCAUGUCAUAUGUACUAAAUUAAUCUAAAUAGCUAAAUUUGAUGGAAUUCAUAUGAAACCUAAAUGGAACAUAUAGAAAUUAAAAGCCGAAUUUUGCUUUAUAUAAAUACGACGCUAGCUCAUUCUCGAGUCUUUGUCAAAAUUGUGUUGUAGGCAAUUGAAUGUGAACCUCCCUUCCCUUUCACAUAUGAUCGACUCAAAUUUCUCGUACUUCAUUGACUUCCUUGUUUCGCUGUUGAAGCAACAAAAUCACAGCAAUUGAAGUCACCAGAAGUAGCUCGCAUCAAUAAGGACCUUUUCCCUAUGGUCGGUCGAUUUACUGUUCAUCCCACCCCACAAGGAGAUAACCUCGUCACAUUUUCACACAAGCCUGGAUUUGCGAUAAAAGCGCUUUUUGGUGCUUAUUGGAAGAGGCGACCACUAGGAACCGCACCUGUCAGCUCGUUGUACAAUAAGUCUACGGAGCUUAAACAAGUUAUAUGUCCAUUUUUUUCAAUGUUCAUUAUAAUGUUCCGUAAGGUUAAAACCACCUUGAUCGAGAGCGAUCCUAAGUUCCUAAUAUGGAUGGACUAACCUUUGCCGAAAGUGAUCAAAUUGGUGGUCCCGGGACCUUCAUCGCCCUCGAGGACUUCGACGCUCUUGAUGGCUUGCAGGAGGACCCUAGGGAUGAGGUUAUCGGCGUCGAGGACAGUGGCCUUGAACAUCUUGGCCGGAGGGAU
Molecule: long non-coding RNA, 21100 nt
Filed under: Eucalyptus grandis
Lineage: Eukaryota; Viridiplantae; Streptophyta; Magnoliopsida; Myrtales; Myrtaceae
Description: long non-coding RNA (EGRA_LNC000025)
Source: RNAcentral